RNAcentral lists this ribosomal RNA (243 nucleotides) under uncultured bacterium. RNAcentral describes it as "partial 16S ribosomal RNA". It matches the Rfam family "Bacterial small subunit ribosomal RNA", at positions 93 to 334 of the family's 1533-position model. The record is from RNAcentral.
UAGUGGCGGACGGGUGAGUAACGCGUGAGUAACCUGCCUUUCAGAGGGGAAUAACGUUCUGAAAAGAACGCUAAUACCGCAUAACGUACAGUUACCGCAUGGUAGCAGUACCAAAGGAGCAAUCCGCUGAAAGAUGGACUCGCGUCCGAUUAGCUAGUUGGUGGGGUAAAGGCCUACCAAGGCGACGAUCGGUAGCCGGACUGAGAGGUUGAACGGCCACAUUGGGACUGAGACACGGCCCAG